This 1730-nucleotide long non-coding RNA is filed under the name Ananas comosus (pineapple). Its description in RNAcentral is "long non-coding RNA (ACOM_LNC011982)". Lineage: Eukaryota; Viridiplantae; Streptophyta; Magnoliopsida; Poales; Bromeliaceae. The record is from RNAcentral.
AAUUUUUUUUUUGAAGCACCUGAUCCCAGAUAUUGUCAGAUCCGCCACAAAUACAGAGAAUCCACUAUUCACACGGACAGAGUCUCCCCUGUAUUUGCACGGCGUCGCACAAGUACAAAAGUACAAACAGUAUACAACCACAACUAAAUGAAUAUACAGAUAGCUAUACGUUCAUACAUUUACCAUUCACACCGUAGUUUUACAUUCGAUGUUUAAACAAAAGUCCACGAAAAACCUUUUAAAAACUGUUCCAUACGCGAAAACUUUUAUCUUUUAUAAAGGCUACCACGAGGGGUAGAAAACCUUUUAUUUUACCAAAUCCAGAAAUUCUUUUAUUACAUUCAUGAAAGUCCACAUAUUCUAAUGUAAUAAAAAUACUGAACCAUAUAAACUGACUAAGCUAUAACAACAGAAUAGUAGGGAUAAAACUAAACCGAUAAUCUGGGUCGGAAGCUCUAUCGACCGCUACGAACGUACCUCACGGCUCGUCCCAAAACUCAACGUCUGCAACACCUGAAAAAUAGUGGGGGAGGUGAGAACAUGUAAACAUGUCUCCCCUCCCAGUGGGUACCGCAAGCCGAAGAAGGCGAGGAGUACUCACCGGAUCAGGAAGAGAUAAACAACAGUAUGGGUAAGUAAAAUACAGUAGCAACGAUAAUGAACGAAUGAGAUAUAUAUAUGAAAACACAACUACCGCUACUGUAAUGUACAACUGCAAGCAUACAAGGAUAUCAAAACUAUAGUAGCAAGACAACUGUAAAGAAAGAACUAGAAGUAUAUAUGCAACAACCGCUACUAUAGCUAUAUGCGUCAACCGGACGAGAAGUCCAAAAGUACCCAAUCUAAACCGCCGUGUCGGUCUAAGGACCUCAGGCAAAAGCCACUACCUGCUCACACCUGGCAUGUAACCCUAGCACAAAGAGAACACCGCUGGGCUCACGGGUCGGAUGUACGACCACUUUUCCGGAAAAGAACACCCUCCUGCGGGGGAUCAACCCGCUGGUGUACGUGAAAUGCACUCGAGCUGUGGCGAUCAAUGCGGAUAUGAUCAAUAGCCAAAUGUCGGCAACCAGCCAACAAUCACCGCCCCUCGGGGCAAGCCGACCAAUAGGUCAUCAAACUAUAAAGAAGCACAAGAACCGACCACUCAAGUCAACUAGGAUGGAACGACUCUACAUCCUCUCAACUGUAUGUAAGUACUGACUAAUCAAGUCAACUGGGAUGGAACAACUCAACAUCCUACCAAAAGUAUGUAGAUACUGAUCAAUAGGUCAACUACUGUAUAUAUGCAAGAAUCGAUCAACAAGUCAUCUGAGUAUAUAAUCUAGAACUACCGUCGGCCAUGGCCGACAAUCCUACCCCUCAGGGUACACCGACCUCAAAGGUCAUCAAACGACAGAAGUCAAGAAACAGACCAACCCAAUACAUAAUGCAACAACCGACCAACCAGGUCAACAGAUAUAAGAUAAAAGCACCGAUCAACUAGAUCACCGAAACGAAGUACGAGAACCGACCAAUCAGGUCACCGAAACAAAGUACGAGAACCGACCAAUCAGGUCACCGAAACGAAGUACGAGAACCGACCAAUCAGGUCACCGAAACAAAGUACGAGAACCGACCAAUCAGGUCACCGGUAUCACAUAUGGAUAAACUACUCUACUCCUACACAUGAUACUAAGCAUAGAAACAUAUAAGUAGAGUAUAAUAGAAACAACGGGGAUGCAAGCUCA